Manis pentadactyla (Chinese pangolin) is the source of this 3794-nucleotide RNA transcript. It is a transcript of the gene named zinc finger protein 169-like, with no coding region annotated. The record is from RefSeq and is a predicted model, not a curated record. The transcript has 5 exons. Lineage: Eukaryota; Metazoa; Chordata; Mammalia; Pholidota; Manidae.
AGCAGCCCUCUGAGGGGUUCCCUUCUCCAUGGAGAGCAGGAAGGUGACUCUGGGACCCUGGAAGACUGGGAGAGAGGUGAGAUGUACUAGAUAUCCUAUAUUUAUCAUCACAGGAUGAACCCAUUCCCUUCACCUGCCCUGGUGACUGCCUCAUUGGUACAGGGCCAAGGCAGCAGCCAUCCUCGGGAAGUGACCUGCCUGGCCUGGCUGCCUCCCUGUGGGGGACUGGGCAGGACUGCAUCAAGUGCUGAUGUGUGAGCAGCACACAAAGAAAACUGAAGCAGAUGAUGGAUGUCCAUGUUCCAGUGCCCAGUGAAGAUCGGUUGGUUGGCUUUUGUGACAUUUGAGGAUGUGGCUGUGGAUUUCACGCAGAAGGAAUGGAAGCUGCUGAGCCCUGCGCAGAGGACCCUGUACAGACACGUGAUGCUGGAGAACUUCAGCCACCUGGUCUCACUCGCAGGAAUUCCCUGUUCUAAACCAGACCUCAUCACUUGGCUGGAACAAGGUGAAGAGCCCUGGAGGGAAGAGAAAAGACAUCGGCCAGGCCCUUGUCCAGCAGAAGCAAAGCCAGAAAUCCAUCUGUUUCCCGUCAGCAACCCACUGGCCUUCUGCAGUCAGCACACCCUCAUCUGGCACACAAUUCAUGACCAUUCUUCUCAGGUGUCUCCAGGCAUACAUGCAACAAAUUACCCACAGGGAAAGAGUCCUGGCCUGGAGCACCAGGAACGAGAGCAGGAAGAACUCUCUCAUCAGAGUGACCAGAGUGAUAGGGCAGAAGGUCAAGAGACAGAAGAAAACUCCCAAACCUUGUUGAGGAAGAGGAGUCAGACCUUGUGGGUAUCUGCCAGCUCAAACCCCACUAACACAGUAAGUCUGGAUCAAAGGAACACAGUGGUGGAAAUUGAUAGCAACCAAGCCCAGAGGGGAAAUCCUAAAGAAACAGGCAAACUGUUAAAAGAAAGAGAAAAUUUGGGAUGGGAAGUAUUCAGAUGUGCAGAGUGUGGGCAAGGCUUUAGCCAGAAGACAAAGCUACUUGAACAAAGGAAAGCGCAUUAUGGACAGAAUCUUUUAACAUUCAUGGAGUGUGGACAGGACUUUAUUGAUAAGUCAGGACUAUUCUUGCACCAGAAGAUGCACCCAGGAGAGAGUCCGUAUAUGUGCAGGGAGGGUGGGCCAGACUUCAGUGAUAAGCCAAACCUCGUAACAUACAAGAAGACACACUCAGGGGAGAAGCCCUUUAUAUGCAAGGAGUGUGGGCAAGGAUUUGUCCAAAAAUCAUCUCUGGUUUCUCACCAGUGGAAACACACAGGGGAGAAGCCCUUUGUGUGCAAGGAGUGUGGGCAAGGAUUUCUCCAAAAAUCAUCUCUGGUUUCUCACCAGUGGAAACACACAGGGGAGAAGCCUUUCAUGUGCAAGGAGUGUGGAAAAGGCUUUGUCAGAAAAUCAUACCUUAUAAUCCAUCAGAGGACACACUCAGGGGAGAAGCCAUUUGUGUGCAAGAAGUGUGAGCACGGUUUUACCACAAAAUCAUCUCUGGUUUUGCACCAAUGGACACACACAGGGGAGAAGCCUUUUGUGUGCAAGGAGUGUGGACAAGGCUAUACCCAAAAACCAAAGCUGAUCUCCCACCAGCGGAAACACUCAGGCCAGAAGCCUUUUGUGUGCAAGGAGUGUGGAGAGGGCUUUAUCCAAAAAUCACACCUGAUCUCCCACCAGUGGAAACACUCAGGCCAGAAGCCUUUUAUGUGCAAGGAGUGUGGACAAGGCUUUAUCCAAAAAUCUUACCUGGUCUCCCACCAGUGGAAACACUCAGGCCAGAAGCCUUUUGUGUGCAAGGAGUGUGGACAAGGCUUUAUCAAAAAUUCACAGUUGAUCUACCACCAGUGGAAACACUCAGGCCAGAAGCCUUUUGUGUGUAAGGAUUGUGGACAGGGCUUGAUGCACAAAUCAUCUCUGGUUUCCCACCAGUGGAAACACUCAGGCCAGAAGCCUUUUGUGUGCAAGGAGUGUGGACAAGGCUUUAUCCAAAAAUCAAACCUGACCACCCACCAGUGGAAACACUCAGGCCAGAAGCCUUUUGUGUGUAAGGAGUGUGGACAAAGCUUUGUCAAAAAAUCAUACCUGAUCUGCCACCAGAGGAAACACUCAGGCCAGAAGCCUUUUGUGUGCAAGGAGUGCGGACAAGGCUUUAUCCAAAAAUCCUACCUGAUCUCCCACCAGUGGAAACACUCAGGCCAGAAGCCUUUUGUGUGCAAGGAGUGUGGACAAGGCUUUAUCCAAAAAUCAAAGCUGAUCUCCCACCAGUGGAAACACUCAGGCCAGAAGCCUUUUGUGUGCAAGGAGUGUGGACAAGGCUUUAUCGAAAAAUCUUACCUGAUCUCCCACCAGUGGAAACACUCAGGCCAGAAGCCUUUUGUCUGCAAGGAGUGUGGAAAAGGCUUUACCCAAAAGUCAUCCAUGAUCUACCACCAGUUGAAACACUCAGGGUAGGAGCAUAUUGUUUGAGUGAUGUAGGUAAAAGUUUUAGCUUUAAAUCAAAUCUUCUGAGACUUAAGAAAGUACACUCAAGGGGUAGCCUAUUGUGUAUAUAGAGUGUAUUUAAACUUUAAUCCAAAAAUUAUCCCUAGUGUCCCACCUGUGGAAACACUUGGGUGAGAAUCUAUAUGCUUGUAGUGAGUGGGGACAAUGUUCUCUCUGGCAGUCAGGCCUGUAAAACACCAGAACUCAUGCUUAAGGAAGAAGUCUUUUGUAUGCAAGGACUGUUUUUGAGUCUAUACCAAUGAGUCUGACCUCAUCAUGUGUGAGAAAAUAUGCUCAGGAGAGAAUCCUAUACCUUUCCAGGAGAGCAGGCACUGGAGUACUGACAAGUCAUACAGCACUAGGCGAUGACACAGUUAUGAGAGAGGCAGUUGUGUGGGGAUGUGCACGAGGCCUUAGAGGACAGUUGUCUCUCCCCUGGUCCCAAGGCAUACAUGGAGAAAAGAGCCUGUGUGUGAUGCAGGGUGAGAAAGAUGAGCCAUAAUCAUGCCUGUGGAUAUCAAAGGUUCCAGUCAAUGGGGAAGUACUUGUGUGCACAGUGUGGCCAAAGCUUUCCUUAGAAGUCAACAGACGGACAGGAAAUCUGAUCACCAUCUGUCCCCUCACCAUAAAAGUUCCAGAGGAACUUCAGGAGCCCCUUGACAAGGGAUGUAUAAGUAGCAAUUACUGCAAUUUCUUUCUUAAGGGACUUCCUUAAGGGAAGGAUCAAGGUGCAGUGAGCUGAUGGCUGAGUGUCAGCACCUCUGGGUCAGCCUGUAGUGGGCUGCCCUUUCCAUCCAGUAACUGCUGCUUUGUAAAGCUACAGCUGGUCCUGUGACCUCGCUCACAGAUGUGUCAUGGAGGCUGGGGGUAACCGCAGGACUACCGAGACUUGAACUUGGAGACUUUCCCUGAACAGGAGGAAACAUAAGUCUUUGUCAUCCUGAAUAUUUACAGCAGAUUCUGAGAUGAGGUCCAGGUUUGAGAAACAGAUGCCUGGGGAGGGGAGGGAGUUACCCAGGCUCCUGGGGGAAAUGUAGUCUCUCUCCUGGAGACCAGGCUUUCUGCCUGGCUGGGCAUCCCGUGUGCUGUUCUGAUCCAGCGAGGACAGCCCGGGGAUAAUGGUAGGACUGUUGUUGACACAUCCCCUGUGAGGCUACACAGCACCCAGCACUCUUCCACCAAACGCUCCUGUUGCGUCCCCUCUCCCACCAGCCUCACCUCCUCCCCAUGUUCUCCCGCAUUCUCUCUCCAGAUAAAAGCCUUGUUUUAUUCAA